RNAcentral lists this ribosomal RNA (429 nucleotides) under Bacteroidota bacterium. Its description in RNAcentral is "Bacteroidetes bacterium partial 16S ribosomal RNA". It matches the Rfam family "Bacterial small subunit ribosomal RNA", at positions 355 to 776 of the family's 1533-position model. Lineage: Bacteria; Pseudomonadati; Bacteroidota. The record is from RNAcentral.
UAGGGAAUCUUCGGCAAUGGGGGGAACCCUGACCGAGCAACGCCGCGUGAGUGAAGAAGGUUUUCGGAUCGUAAAGCUCUGUUGUUAAGGAAGAACGAGUGUGAGAAUGGAAAGUUCAUACUGUGACGGUACUUAACCAGAAAGGGACGGCUAACUACGUGCCAGCAGCCGCGGUAAUACGUAGGUCCCGGGCGUUGUCCGGAUUUAUUGGGCGUAAAGCGAGCGCAGGCGGUUAGAUAAGUCUGAAGUUAAAGGCAGUGGCUUAACCAUUGUAGGCUUUGGAAACUGUUUAACUUUAGUGCAGAAGGAGAGAGUGGAAUUCCAUGGGUAGCGGUGAAGUGCGUAGAUAGAUGGAGGAACACCGGUGGCGAAAGCGGCUCUCUGGUCUGUAACUGACGCUGAGGCUCGAAAGCGUGGGGAGCGAACAGG